GAUGAACGCUGGCGGCGUGCCUAAUACAUGCAAGUCGAGCGAACAGACGAGGAGCUUGCUCCUCUGACGUUAGCGGCGGACGGGUGAGUAACACGUGGAUAACCUACCUAUAAGACUGGGAUAACUUCGGGAAACCGGAGCUAAUACCGGAUAAUAUAUUGAACCGCAUGGUUCAAUAGUGAAAGACGGUUUUGCUGUCACUUAUAGAUGGAUCCGCGCCGCAUUAGCUAGUUGGUAAGGUAACGGCUUACCAAGGCAACGAUGCGUAGCCGACCUGAGAGGGUGAUCGGCCACACUGGAACUGAGACACGGUCCAGACUCCUACGGGAGGCAGCAGUAGGGAAUCUUCCGCAAUGGGCGAAAGCCUGACGGAGCAACGCCGCGUGAGUGAUGAAGGUCUUCGGAUCGUAAAACUCUGUUCUUAGGGAAGAACAAAUGUGUAAGUAACUAUGCACGUCUUGACGGUACCUAAUCAGAAAGCCACGGCUAACUACGUG
This 497-nucleotide ribosomal RNA is filed under the name uncultured bacterium. Its description in RNAcentral is "partial 16S ribosomal RNA". It matches the Rfam family "Bacterial small subunit ribosomal RNA", at positions 28 to 507 of the family's 1533-position model. The record is from RNAcentral.